ACACAUGCAAGUCGAGCGGUAAGGCCUUUCGGGGUACACGAGCGGCGAACGGGUGAGUAACACGUGGGUGAUCUGCCCUGCACUCUGGGAUAAGCUUGGGAAACUGGGUCUAAUACCGGAUAUGACCNCANGNNGCAUGUGNUGUGGUGGAAAGAUUUAUCGGUGCAGGAUGGGCCCGCGGCCUAUCAGCUUGUUGGUGGGGUAAUGGCCUACCAAGGCGACGACGGGUAGCCGACCUGAGAGGGUGACCGGCCACACUGGGACUGAGACACGGCCCAGACUCCUACGGGAGGCAGCAGUGGGGAAUAUUGCACAAUGGGCGGAAGCCUGAUGCAGCGACGCCGCGUGAGGGAUGAAGGCCUUCGGGUUGUAAACCUCUUUCAGCAGGGACGAAGCGUGAGUGACGGUACCUGCAGAAGAAGCACCGGCUAACUACGUGCCAGCAGCCGCGGUAAUACGUAGGGUGCGAGCGUUGUCCGGAAUUACUGGGCGUAAAGAGUUCGUAGGCGGUUUGUCGCGUCGUUUGUGAAAACCCGGGGCUCAACUUCGGGCUUGCAGGCGAUACGGGCAGACUUGAGUGUUUCAGGGGAGACUGGAAUUCCUGGUGUAGCGGUGAAAUGCGCAGAUAUCAGGAGGAACACCGGUGGCGAAGGCGGGUCUCUGGGAAACAACUGACGCUGAGGAACGAAAGCGUGGGUAGCAAACAGGAUUAGAUACCCUGGUAGUCCACGCCGUAAACGGUGGGCGCUAGGUGUGGGU
This 759-nucleotide ribosomal RNA is filed under the name unidentified microorganism. RNAcentral's name for it is "bacterial SSU rRNA". It matches the Rfam family "Bacterial small subunit ribosomal RNA", at positions 51 to 827 of the family's 1533-position model. The record is from RNAcentral.